Orbicella faveolata is the source of this 296-nucleotide long non-coding RNA. The record is from RefSeq and is a predicted model, not a curated record. NCBI's taxonomy places the organism in Eukaryota, Metazoa, Cnidaria, Anthozoa, Scleractinia, Merulinidae.
AGAGGAAUCUUUGGAUGCCAAAAUGCUAGACUGUGCAGAAUUCAUGCCCAAACUAGGACAUUCGGCUACCAAAAGUAAGUAAUUUUUUGUUAGUGUUGACCCAUGGUAAUAUUUUGUUUUUGCAGUAAUAUUAACUUACUUCGCACACUGGUUUUUUUAAUUAUCAAAUGCUUUUAGCUAUCGAUAUCUUGAAUGAGAGGGCAGCUGAUAAUGCUUGAUCGAGCUUAUCCACUCACCAGUCCCCGGGUGUUCGAAAGCCGAUUAAAAUAACCCGCGGUUAGCGGUUACUACGUAAU